UUACAUCUGUGCCCUCUUUAUUCCCUUUCUACUUCUCCUGCCUCAUCUCAUAUUUGAUCAUGUAUCUUUCUUGCUAGAAUCCCCCUGCUGUGUCUUCCUGCCUCUUUUCUGGCACCGCUCUCCUGGUGUUCGCACUCGCUGUACCCCAGAUUCCCUAUUGCUUCUUUCAGACACCAAGCAGAAGUCCAGAGGGGAGAAUUACUGGGAGAAAGGACUAGCUAUGCAUUUGGGGUUCCUAAGAUUCUAUUCCACUAUACCAGCUCACAUGGCAUUUUCACCAUGCCAGGUAAAAGUUUAACUGGUUUCUUCCUUCCCUAGCAGAU
Molecule: long non-coding RNA, 323 nt
Organism: Bos indicus x Bos taurus (hybrid cattle)
Lineage: Eukaryota; Metazoa; Chordata; Mammalia; Artiodactyla; Bovidae
Source: Ensembl